UGGUGGCGACCGGCGCACGGGUGCGUAACGCGUAUGCAACCUACCCUGUACUGGGGGAUAGCCCGGAGAAAUUCGGAUUAAGACCCCAUAGUAUUAUUGAAUCGCAUGGUUUGAUACUUAAAGGUUACGGUACAGGAUGGGCAUGCGUCCUAUUAGCUAGAUGGUGAGGUAACGGCUCACCAUGGCGACGAUAGGUAGGGGGCCUGAGAGGGUGGUCCCCCACACUGGUACUGAGACACGGACCAGACUCC
This 251-nucleotide ribosomal RNA is filed under the name uncultured bacterium. Its description in RNAcentral is "partial 16S ribosomal RNA". It matches the Rfam family "Bacterial small subunit ribosomal RNA", at positions 86 to 339 of the family's 1533-position model. The record is from RNAcentral.